This is a long non-coding RNA of Lepidothrix coronata (blue-crowned manakin), 1115 nucleotides long. RefSeq lists it as uncharacterized. NCBI's taxonomy places the organism in Eukaryota, Metazoa, Chordata, Aves, Passeriformes, Pipridae. The record is from RefSeq and is a predicted model, not a curated record. The transcript is spliced from 6 exons.
CCUCCUUGCUUUUUGGGGGGGUUUUGUUGCUCCUUUGCUACAUACCAAGACCAGGCAGAGCGACCCGAAGCAACUCGUAAAUCCUCGUCCCUGCCAGGACCCGGAGGGUUUUCCUCUCCCUGUCAAACCAAGCAAUCAAAUCCCCCUCCAACAUGCUUUUAAUUGGGUAACUGAAGGCUCUAAUGUUCCCCUCUGGGACAUCUGCUUGCAGGGAGAUGCUGGCUCCCAUUCCCAGCCUGGAAUCACUCCCAGCUCCGGCUCCGUGGCACCCACCUGGGAGCGAUCAGGGACCUGCUGGAGGCUCUGGAUGUGCUCCCUCCAUGGCACUGCUGGGUGCUGGGGGUGUUCCCCCCCUCCCUGCUGAACUGUCACAGCCAGGCUGGAAUCAGAAGGGUUUGGGGUUGUGCCAGCCCGUGCAAGGAGCUGCCCUGAAUCAACUCCCUGGGCAGAUGGACUCGCGUGGGGCUCAUAAAACCCCGAGCACCUUCUUGGCAGAGUCACAGUAAAGAAGAGCCUGGGAGGGAAAACACCAACUCCAUCUUGCUGGGAAAUGGGGCUUCAGCUUCUUCCAGUUUUUGGCCUCCCAAAUCCAGCAGAGCUCUCCAGGAGCAGGACAUCCAUGGACAGCACCACGGCACAGAGGGUCACUGCCCAAAUCUGCUUUCUCCUGGCAAGCUGAGUGUGCAGCCGGACACUCGGAAUCUCCAGGGAGCAGCUCAUCCAAAGGAUGCUUUGGGAAGGUGUGGCUGGUGUCUGGGAAAAAGGCACCAUCGUCAUGUUUGUACCUCCCCAACCUACCCCACUGAAGUGUUUAGGAUUCCCACUGGAUCCACUUUGCCUCUGGCUGACCAUCUCCCAAAACAUCUCUGCUCUUGGAAAGCCUCAACAGAAUGUUCUGCAAGAGCUGAGCAGGGAGCAGUUGGAGACCACAGCUGUGAGUGUCCGGGCAGAGCUCCCUGAUCCAUCGUGGUGGACGGACGGUGCUCUGAAGGUGAACGGUCUCACCUGUCCGACUGGCACAGAAUCCCAGGAUCACUGAGGCUGGAAAAGAUCUCCAUGACCAUGGAGUCCCCCCUGUGCCCCGUCCCCACCUUGUCCCCCAGCCCAGAGCACUG